AAAGGCAGCAGCAACACUGUGUAAAAGAAAAUGAGUUUGACAUGAUAAAUUACAUGCAUGCACACCCAGUGUGCAGUGUAAGCACUCAAAAGGAGCCAAUAGAAGCUACUAUAUAUUGGCCAAUUAGACCUCCACAAAAAAAGGUGUUAUUUGAGGGCACCACACUGUGGGCCUUAACAAGGAGGCGGUAGAUAGGGGUUCACUCUUUUUACCCUAUCAAUAAGGCUAAAGAGAGGGGGAGUGGCACUAUGUUGGGCAAUCGGCUCUAGACAUUUGAGCAGGCAUAAGGCAAUUAUCACAUAGUGCUUGGCUUUCAAGGCUGUGAGAGGUUCCUCCAGUAGCUACUGGAACUCCAGAUAGAGAAGUGUUUUGCAGCUUGCUAGAAGCAGUAUCAGAAAGGGGAGGCUGUUCUCCACCACUGUGACCUGGACAGGCCCCCCCCCCCCCAGGCCCUGUUCCUUGAUACUGGUAAUGUCCUUGUUUAUCUCACCUAUUUCCCAAGCUACUUCCUAAGCAGAAAAAAGAUAAGGGAAUUUAAUUACACAAUAGCAACUACUCCUUUAAUUUAUGAGUGUUUUGAUCACAAAACUGACUGACUGUUGACUGUGUCAGCCACAGGCUGCCUGGCCUUCAGCAGCAGAAGAGAUUUGACUUGAUGGAUAUCUGUCUCCCCAUAACCAAGCUCUGGGAAGGACAGUUUAACACAAUGCAGAAGACUAGCUUGUUCUUAAAGCGGUGACAAGUAAAUGGUGACAUUGCCAAAUCAUAUCAGUAGGGUCUGGAUCUUCACCACAGGGAUUUGUGACAUCCAAGAAGUCAGCAAACAAAGGAUGGCAUUGCGAGUCUUCCUGUAUUCUGUCAAGGACUUCUCAGUCUUCAUGAUUGCUGUGUUGCUGUGGUGUAGCAGCUGUCUUGUUGCUGAUGUCCAAAGCUAGGGGUGCAUAAUAUCUUCUACUAAACCAUACAAGCCUGAGGCUCUGCAUUCAGAAACAAAAAAGGAACCUAUGCAUCAUGAAAGAGAUGUAUCCAGGGAAUGAGUGCCUCUUUUGACAAGUGUUUCUGACAAUUGACAAACUGUUGCCUGCCAUGUGAAUCCGAGGAGUGACUGAUGUUAGCAAACUCACCUCUCAAUUCCCCUAGAUAGCACUGGAAACCUGAUGGCAGGUAGAGACAAACAUUGCCACUGCUGCCAGGUUGCCCUUCCAGAGACUGUGAGAGAGCUUGGAUAGAAGCUGAGCAGCAAACGUGAGGCUUUCCCAGCAGGUGGCUGGGCAUUCUGAAGAUGCUGGCUCUAAUUAUCAAAUCCUCUGUUUCAGGUGACAAACAGCCCGUAAAUCUGAGCAUCAAGCAUCUGUCCUUGCUAGUGAGCUCUUAAGUUAAUAUGGGUAGAAGAUAUUCUCUCCUAUAACCACCAAAAAAUAUAGGUGAAAAAGUGUUAGUAACUGCUUGUACAAAUCUGGACUUAAGCCUGAACUAUGUCAAUUGGCAUUAAAGUACAUUACUUUUUUUGCAAUGUCAUGUCACCCUGAGAUGCACAACAUGAAUAUACCACCAGCUCAAUGGAACCAAACUUUCCAUUUUCUGCCCAUUUGUGCCCUGCAAAGACAGGCCACAUCAGGAACAACAGAUAUCUUGGUAUCUAUUGCUUAUGCUUCUGCUAGAAUUUUAUUCCUAUUUUGAAAAUGUGAUGGUAUUGUCUGUAUUCUGUCUAACACAUACUAAAACAUCCCUCUGAUGUUAACUGCAUAUGCAGACAUAUAUUAAAUAAAAGCAUGAUUAUUAUUAUUAUUAUUUUUUUU
Molecule: long non-coding RNA, 1799 nt
Organism: Anser cygnoides (Swan goose)
Lineage: Eukaryota; Metazoa; Chordata; Aves; Anseriformes; Anatidae
Source: Ensembl